UCCCUUGUGGUCUGGUGGCUAAGACUCUGUGCUCCCAAUGCAGGGACCUGGGUUCAAUCCCUGGUCAGGGAA
RNAcentral lists this transfer RNA (72 nucleotides) under Bos taurus (domestic cattle). It matches the Rfam family "tRNA". From Rfam's summary of the family: Transfer RNA (tRNA) molecules are approximately 80 nucleotides in length. Their secondary structure includes four short double-helical elements and three loops (D, anti-codon, and T loops). Further hydrogen bonds mediate the characteristic L-shaped molecular structure. tRNAs have two regions of fundamental functional importance: the anti-codon, which is responsible for specific mRNA codon recognition, and the 3' end, to which the tRNAs corresponding amino acid is attached (by aminoacyl-tRNA synthetases). tRNAs cope with the degeneracy of the genetic code in two manners: having more than one tRNA (with a specific anti-codon) for a particular amino acid; and 'wobble' base-pairing, i.e. permitting non-standard base-pairing at the 3rd anti-codon position. The record is from Rfam by way of RNAcentral. RNAcentral also lists the same sequence under 1 other name. Lineage: Eukaryota; Metazoa; Chordata; Mammalia; Artiodactyla; Bovidae.